UGCGUAGGCGGACUAAUAAGUCAGUGGUGAAAUCUCUCGGCUCAACCGGGAAACUGCCAUUGAUACUGUUAGUCUUGAGUUCGGUUGAGGUAGGCGGAAUGUGUAAUGUAGCGGUGAAAUGCUUAGAUAUUACACAGAACACCAAUUGCGUAGGCAGCUUACUAGACCGACACUGACGCUGAGGCACGAAAGCGUGGGUAACGAACAGGAUUAGAUACCCUGGUAGUCC
RNAcentral lists this ribosomal RNA (229 nucleotides) under uncultured bacterium. RNAcentral's name for it is "partial 16S ribosomal RNA". It matches the Rfam family "Bacterial small subunit ribosomal RNA", at positions 568 to 796 of the family's 1533-position model. The record is from RNAcentral.